AGGGGGGAGGGGGGGGGAGGAGAGGAGGGAGUUUUUUUUGGUUUCUUUUUCAAAAUUAAGACCUCGGAGGGAUAUGGCGACGGGUGAGUACACGUGGGCAAUCUGCCCUGCACUCUGGGACAAGCCCUGGAAACGGGGUCUAAUACCGGAUACGAGUUUCACCGGCAUCGGUGAUUCUGGAAAGCUCCGGCGGUGCAGGAUGAGCCCGCGGCCUAUCAGCUUGUUGGUGAGGUAACGGCUCACCAAGGCGACGACGGGUAGCCGGCCUGAGAGGGCGACCGGCCACACUGGGACUGAGACACGGCCCAGACUCCUACGGGAGGCAGCAGUGGGGAAUAUUGCACAAUGGGCGAAAGCCUGAUGCAGCGACGCCGCGUGAGGGAUGACGGCCUUCGGGUUGUAAACCUCUUUCAGCAGGGAAGAAGCGAAAGUGACGGUACCUGCAGAAGAAGCGCCGGCUAACUACGUGCCAGCAGCCGCGGUAAUACGUAGGGCGCAAGCGUUGUCCGGAAUUAUUGGGCGUAAAGAGCUCGUAGGCGGCUUGUCGCGUCGGUUGUGAAAGCCCGGGGCUUAACCCCGGGUCUGCAGUCGAUACGGGCAGGCUAGAGUUCGGUAGGGGAGAUCGGAAUUCCUGGUGUAGCGGUGAAAUGCGCAGAUAUCAGGAGGAACACCGGUGGCGAAGGCGGAUCUCUGGGCCGAUACUGACGCUGAGGAGCGAAAGCGUGGGGAGCGAACAGGAUUAGAUACCCUGGUAGUCCACGCCGUAACGGUGGGCACUAGGUGUGGGGCAACAUUCCACGUUGUCCGUGCCGCAGCUAACGCAUUAAGUGCCCCCGCCCUGGGGGAGUACGGCCGCAAGGCUAAAAACUCAAAAGGAAUUGAACGGGGGCCCGCACAAAGCGGCGGAGCAUGUUGGGCUUUAAAUUUCCGAAACCGGCCCAA
This 942-nucleotide ribosomal RNA is filed under the name Streptomyces sp. Its description in RNAcentral is "bacterial SSU rRNA". It matches the Rfam family "Bacterial small subunit ribosomal RNA", at positions 63 to 977 of the family's 1533-position model. Lineage: Bacteria; Bacillati; Actinomycetota; Actinomycetes; Kitasatosporales; Streptomycetaceae. The record is from RNAcentral.